RNAcentral lists this ribosomal RNA (214 nucleotides) under uncultured bacterium. RNAcentral's name for it is "partial 16S ribosomal RNA". It matches the Rfam family "Bacterial small subunit ribosomal RNA", at positions 118 to 335 of the family's 1533-position model. The record is from RNAcentral.
UGAGCAAUCUGCCCUUCACAUCGGAAUAACCAUUGGAAACGAUGGCUAAUACCGAAUAUGACUUCGGAUCGCAUGAUCUGAAGUGGAAAGCUCCGGCGGUGAAGGAUGAGCUCGCGGCCUAUCAGCUUGUUGGUGAGGUAAUAGCUCACCAAGGCGAUGACGGGUAGUCGGCCUGAGAGGGUGACCGGCCACACUGGGACUGAGACACGGCAGA